AUACGGAGGGUGCGAGCGUUACUCGGAGUCACUGGGCGUAAAGCGUCCGUAGGCGGUCGGGUAAGUCGGGUGUGAAAGCCCCGGGCUCAACCUGGGAAGUGCACCCGAUACUGCUCGACUCGAGUGCGGGAGAGGAUGGCGGAAUUCCCGGUGUAGCGGUGAAAUGCGUAGAGAUCAGGAAGAACACCAGUGGCGAAGGCGGCCAUCUGGCCCGCAACUGACGCUGAGGGACGAAAGCGUGGGGAGCAAACAGGAUUAGAUACCCUAGUAGUCC
Molecule: ribosomal RNA, 274 nt
Filed under: uncultured bacterium
Lineage: Bacteria
Description: partial 16S ribosomal RNA
Rfam family: Bacterial small subunit ribosomal RNA
Source: RNAcentral